UUUGAAACCUUCACUGACCUGUCUGUCGGGAGACAGACCUGAAGCUGCCAUGUACGAACUCCCAAUGGUUUUAAUUUUCUCCACCUCCUGAAAGUAACACUCAUCCAGCAGCUGCACAAAGAGGCUGGGUCAAGGGGGCAGCAGUCUAAGUAAAGAGCCCCAACACGUCCUCCAGCUGUCUGGGGAAGCGAGGCGUGCAGGAAUCCUUCUCCUACCAGGUCCAGUGCUAGGUCCAUUGUUCCAUGACUGGGGACAACACCGAGGUACAAGCCGUCCCUGAACCUGGUGGUGGACGCUAUAACCCCAUCCCUGUAAAGGAUGCCGACAAGCUGAAGCAGGAGUCCUAACAAGCUUGGGUGCCACAUGGGGAAGCUAAUGGUAACCGCCGAUCAAGCAUGCUGCAGCCAGGCAGGAGGUAAAAACUCGGGUUUCAUAUAGUUCAGGAUACCAGGAAGCCUCAGCGAACUCUUUGGUGCCUCAGGAAAGGAACAGUCCUUCACCAACACUGCUUACAGUGGAGGUGGGGAGCUGUUUACCUCCACUGGAGGAGGGAAUUAUUUGAGGUCACCUUCUGUUGGGAAGCAACUAGCACAACAUGCUCAAUCACCAGUAUCACAUUUAGAGUCUUGACUUUUGGGUUGAAAUGUUUGAACACAAUGUGUUCAUCACCCAAGAAAUAUUAGCACAUUAGCACAAGCAUCAUCAUUGUCAUAUCUGUUUCUGUUUGUAUGACACAUUAUCAUGACCUCGUCAAAGUCGGUGAUGAUGUGGUUGAGGAGGCGAAGGCAUUCAACAUGCUGAUGAACCAGCUCCUGUUGCUCAUAGAAGUCAGAGAAACCUGGCAAGGAGGCAAAGAGGACGCCAACGCGCUCGUAUGACUGCGAGUACAGCUCCUGAAAAACAAAUUAGCUGUGUUCAUGGCUGGAAGGACCACGGUGGGUUUACUUUAACACCAAAUGGAAUUAAUUGCACCUCAUUGUCGCGCUCUCGCUCCAGGAAAUGCUGUGCGACGUGAGCCGGCAGGAUGUUGAGCAGCAGACACUCGUUGUGCUCCCUCAGCUCCUUCAUGUCCUCCACCUCCUUUCUGGCUUGGAGACGCCACAGGAAGUCUAGGCGGGCUGUUGCCUCCAGCUACCAACAAAGAAGAAGGUGGAAGCAUGACAAUCAAAUGAUGCUCAACACACACAGGUUGCUGACAUCUGCGCUAGAACCCACCUGUCUGCUGUUAUAGAGGACAGCAAUUACAAACAUCACCAUGAGAACAACACAAACUCCCUUCCUGCACAAGUGAUGCGACCUGGGAGACAAAGAGAGACACGUGAGGAAGAUGAAGAGCAGUCAGCUGGAAGCCAUUCCCUUACUAAGGUCACCUGUAUGUCUCUAUGAGGUAGGUGUAGAGGGCAGCAGCUAAUAGGAGCACAGCCAGCUUCAACAUGCAACUCAGCCUGAGGAACACCACGCAGGUAACCAUGGCAACCACGCCACUCAGCACCAUGUACUGUGAACGAGAUGGGAUGGGUGACUUAAUGUGCUGACCACAUGCAGAUGCUGGUUGUGUGUUGAACUGUAUUUGUGCGUGGUCACCUCCGGGUGUGUACAGAUGUUGGUGGAGGUGGGCGGAGUUUCUGAAGGAUCACACCACACCUGGACAAUCAAACAAAAACAACAACAAUACCGCCAGAGACGGUGAAAUUUUAGCGGCGUGUUGCCUCUGUUUGUGUUACUGACUUUAUAGUGAAGACUUACAAUGUCUGAGGAGGCGACUGUGAAGUUGACGGUGAUGGCAGUAAGCGUGAGGAGCGUCCGAGCACUCUUGGUCUCAUGGAUCCAACAACAGAGAGACUGAAGAGCAGCUGGACAGCACUUGAACUCCUCAGCCAGGCUCAAUGUGAGGAGCAGGGAGUAAACGCUGCCACUGAUAACAAACUGGACGAUCAUGGGACACAACCUGGAGAGACAGAAAACAUCAAGACUGAUAUAUUACAAAUGUGAACAAAAAGUUCUUUAAAUGCAUUUUGAUAUUUCAACCAUCAUUUGAAAAUGAAAGGUCUGCUUCAUGAGGCUGGGAGGUUUAAGGGAGGUGAACCCAGUGAUGUACCUGGGAGCGGGGAUCAGCACUUGGACAGUCAUCAGCAGCAGCAGCAGGAUAAAGGAACACAUCAUGUUGGACUUGAAGAGUUCAUCUCUCAUUUGGGAGUACUGAGACAAAACAGCACCAGUCAGCAAUGUCACAGCUGCACGUGCUCCGUUCUGUCAGCGAGUCACAGCAUUACCUUUCCCUCCAUAUGUGAGUCCUUGAACACCUGAGUGAAGGAGGUGAUGUGCUCCUUUCUCAUUCGCUCACUGCUUCGUACUUCCAUGGCCUCUCGAAUCCUCUUGUUGACUUCCCGCGAGCCGGACCGCUGAGCUGAGAGCUGGUUGGGCAGUUGAGUGAGCGAGCCAUUGGUGAAGGUGGCGAGGAUCUAUGUAGAGAACACAGAAGGUCAAAGGUCAGUCACUAACUGGGAGACAGCCAGAGGUCAUAAUUAGGAAGGGUCAGUUCAUCCUCACAAAGUUCAUGCCCAGGACGUCUCCAAAGGGCAGCUCUGCGCUCCAGGUGGUCAUCUCGUCAUAGCUGGGUCGUCUGGCUUUAGGGGGCUCGGCCUCCUCCUUCAGCACGGGCCGGAUCAGGAACGUGUCAAUGUUGUGUUUGCGUAGGAACUCGCUGCGUUCCUGGCCGUGUCCCACCUCUGUCUCGUAAAUCCCACCAAGACAGUCCAGAGUUGCCCGAGAGAUAUGGAUCCGCCUGAGACAAGACACGGGUUCUGUUUAUGUUAAUGAAGUGAGGAGGCAGACUUCACCUGCCUCCACGCAGCUGAAUACCAGCCUGACCACACACACACUCAGGAUCCCCCUGGUCACCUCAGCCGUCAUCUCGUCCCUCUACACACACCCAACCAUUAGCUGAUUAAAUGUAGUGAACCUGCUCAUGAUCAACAGUAAUUCCUCCAAAUUCCUCUAUAAAGUUUGCUGUAGUGUAACCGCUGACUAUUACCCUGGCGUUCCUGCAGCUUCCAGACUGUUAGCGAUGUCCACGUCCCAGCUCCAGAUGUCAAACUGCCACUUCUGGACCCCCAACACACCACAAAGCACGGACCCAGAGUGGACCCCGAUCCUCAUGUCGAGCUCUUGCUGCAGUUCCCGACGAACAUACCUGCAACACACAUACACAGAUUAGUGCUAGGCCUCCUGGAAACACUUCAAAUUGUGUGUGUCAUCUUUUGUGUUCACCGUAUGGUGUUGAUCAUACUCAGGCCCAUUUCGACGCAGCAGCGAGCGUGUGCCCUCUGAGGCUCUGGGACCCCAGACACACAGUAAUAACAGUCGCCCAGGAUCUUAAUACGCAGACACUGAUGCUCCUGAACACAGGGACAAAUGGUGAAGCCUUAAGCUUCCAUCUAAACUCAUCCAUUUAUACAGUAGUUAUACAGAACUAGGACGUGUGUAAUCUCACCUCUGACAGCUUAUCAAACCGACCAAAGAGUUCAUUGAGAGUCUUGACUAGUUCCUGAGCCGACAGAAUCAGUGAGAGGGAAGUGAAGCCGAUGAUGUCUGCGAACAGGAUGCUGUUAGGAAGAGAGACGUGUUGAAAGUGAUCUGUGAUUUGUACAUUCUAGUCUCUGCCCUCACUGCUUGUCUGACCUGACAUCUUUGUAGUGGUGAAUGUAGAUCUUGUGGAACUGCUGAGGCAGCAGGUAUUCGUCCAUGACGGCCAUGUCAGAGAUCAUCUCCAGAACCAGGAAGCGUGGGAGGAUGGACAUCAAGAGACGCUCCUGGGUGACAAAUGGGCAGCGAUUUCAGAUAUGGGACACGACAGCCGGGCACGUCCUUCUAUGCAACGCCUGGUCUCCAGAAAGGCCUGUCUCUGGGUCCGAUCUGACAGGUAGUGGAUGAACAGGCCUGCUGUGUUCAUGGCCAGGUACAGCAAGGCCUUGGACAAGACCUGCACAGGCGAGAGCAGGUGCAGCGUGGACGUGGUUGUGCCAGCGAUGAUGGACCAGAGCAGCGGGAGCGGCAGCAGCGUGUAGGUGGAGAACAGGGUGAAGAAAACGUACCAGGUGUGAUCGCUCUCAGCCCAACUGAAGACGCCCACCAACACCUGGACGGUCUGAGACACCCAGCUCAGCAGCGACAGAGCCAGCAGGCAGAUGGCUGCCCACAGGACCACGAACAGCCCAGUGAGCCAGUCACAGGCGACACCGCCGCGGCCCGGAGGCCACGUCAGCAGAGAGAUGAGGAGGCGGGUCAAGAUGUCGAUGACGCUGGUGACAACCAGAGAGGUGUGCUGCAGUGUGGGAAUGAAGACGCCUCGAACCGUUGAGCCGCAGGACACGAAGAAGUCUCCGUCGCUGAGCGAGUGCUGCUUCCUGCGGGCAGUCAUGCGCGGUGUCAGCGGGUGGACACGGGCUGCGGACGAGCGCCGCUUCUGCCACAGGGCACGAGACGCUUUGUUACGGAUUUGCCUGCACAAGAAGAAACAGCUGCGUCGGUGACGAUGAUGCGGUGCCUCCCUCUCUCCAGGCCUCCAGCUAGCCUCAGCGAGUACAGGUUGUGCUGGUCGAUGAUGUUCCUGACGGCGUUCUGCCACAGCAGCUGCUUCCUGCGCAGGCCGGGGCCGGGGC
Molecule: long non-coding RNA, 4661 nt
Organism: Betta splendens (Siamese fighting fish)
Lineage: Eukaryota; Metazoa; Chordata; Actinopteri; Anabantiformes; Osphronemidae
Exons: 8
Source: RefSeq, a predicted model, not a curated record